This 817-nucleotide ribosomal RNA is filed under the name uncultured bacterium. RNAcentral's name for it is "bacterial SSU rRNA". It matches the Rfam family "Bacterial small subunit ribosomal RNA", at positions 545 to 1381 of the family's 1533-position model. The record is from RNAcentral.
CCGGAAUUAUUGGGCGUAAAGCGUUUGUAGGCGGGCGAGUGUGUUUAAUGUUAAAUCUUAAAGCUCAACUUUGAAAUUGCGUUAAAAACUGCUUGUCUUGAGUAUGGUAGGGGUAAAGGGAAUUCCCAGUGUAGCGGUGAAAUGCGUAGAUAUUGGGAAGAACACUAAACAGCGAAGGCACUUUACUAGGCUAAUACUGACGCUGAGAAACGAAAGGUAAGGUAGCGAAACGGAUUAGAUACCCGUGUAGUCUUACCCGUAAACUAUGGACACUAAACGGUAAAUUUUUAAUUUACUGUUAAAGCUAACGCGUUAAGUGUCCCGCCUGGGGAGUAUGCUUGCAAAAGUGAAACUCAAAGGAAUUGACGGGGGCCCGCACAAGCGGUGGAGCAUGUGGUUUAAUUCGACGGUACACGAAGAACCUUACCAGGAUUUGACAUGCUAGAUAGUUGCUUGAAAGAGUAACGUGCCGUAAGGAAUCUAGACACAGGUGGUGCAUGGCUGUCGUCAGUUCGUGUUGUGAAAUGUUGGGUUAAGUCCCGCAACGAACGCAACCCUUGUCUUUAGUUAUUUUCUAAAGAGACUGCCUGUAAUAAACAGGAGGAAGGUAAGGAUGAGGUCAAGUCAUCAUGCCCCUUAUGUCCUGGGCUACACACGUGCUACAAUGGGAAAGACAAUGAGCUGCAAAUCUGUAAAUUUAAGCAAAUCUCUUAAACUUUCUCGUAGUUCGGAUUGUGGGCUGCAACUCGCCCACAUGAAGUUGGAAUCGCUAGUAAUCGCCAGUCAGCUAUAUGGCGGUGAAUCCGUUCCCGGGCCU